ACUACGGGCGGCAGCAGUGGGGGAUAUUGGACAAUGGGGGGAACCCUGAUCCAGCGACGCCGCGUGAGUGAAGAAGUAUUUCGGUAUGUAAAGCUCUGUCAGCAGGGAAGAAAGAAAUGACGGUACCUGACCAAGAAGCCCCGGCUAACUACGUGCCAGCAGCCGCGGUAAUACGUAGGGGGCAAGCGUUAUCCGGAAUUACUGGGUGUAAAGGGAGCGUAGACGGUUAAGUAAGUCUGGAGUGAAAGGCCGGGGCCCAACCCCGGGACUGCUCUGGAAACUAUUCAACUUGAGUGCAGGAGAGGUAAGCGGAAUUCCUAGUGUAGCGGUGAAAUGCGUAGAUAUUAGGAGGAACACCAGUGGCGAAGGCGGCUUACUGGACUGUAACUGACGUUGAGGCUCGAAAGCGUGGGGAGCAAACAGGAUUAGAUACCCUUGUAGUC
RNAcentral lists this ribosomal RNA (443 nucleotides) under uncultured bacterium. RNAcentral describes it as "partial 16S ribosomal RNA". It matches the Rfam family "Bacterial small subunit ribosomal RNA", at positions 338 to 795 of the family's 1533-position model. The record is from RNAcentral.